UACGGAGGGUCCAAGCGUUAUCCGGAAUUAUUGGGUUUAAAGGGUCCGCAGGCGGGCCAGUAAGUCAGAGGUGAAAGUUUGCGGCUUAACCGUAAAAUUGCCUUUGAUACUGCUGGUCUUGAGUUGCGGUGAAGUGGCCGGAAUAUGUGGUGUAGCGGUGAAAUGCAUAGAUAUCACAUAGAACNCCGAUUGCGAAGGCAGGUCACUAACCGCCGACUGACGCUGAUGGACGAAAGCGUGGGGAGCGAACGGGAUUAGAUACCCCGGUAGUCCACGCCGUAAACGAUGGACACUAGCUGUCGGGCCAAUUUGGUUCGGCGGCCCAGCGAAAGUGAUAAGUGUCCCACCUGGGGAGUACGUCGGCAACGAUGAAACUCAAAGGAAUUGACGGGGGCCCGCACAAGCGGUGGAGCAUGUGGUUUAAUUCGAUGAUACGCGAGGAACCUUACCAGGGCUUAAAUGUAGUGGGACAGGGGUAGAGAUACCUUUUUCUUCGGACUCAUUACAAGGUGCUGCAUGGUUGUCGUCAGCUCGUGCCGUGAGGUGUCAGGUUAAGUCCUAUAACGAGCGCAACCCCUACCGUUAGUUGCCAGCGAGUAAUGUCGGGGACUCUAACGGGACUGCCGGUGCAAACCGUGAGGAAGGUGGGGAUGACGUCAAA
Molecule: ribosomal RNA, 661 nt
Filed under: uncultured prokaryote
Description: bacterial SSU rRNA
Rfam family: Bacterial small subunit ribosomal RNA
Source: RNAcentral